GGGGCUGUAGCUCAGCUGGCUAGAGCGCUUGCAUGGCAUGCAAGAGGUCAGGGGUUCGAUUCCCCUCAGCUCCACCA
Molecule: transfer RNA, 77 nt
Filed under: Candidatus Peribacteria bacterium RIFCSPLOWO2_01_FULL_51_18
Lineage: Bacteria; Candidatus Peregrinibacteriota; Candidatus Peribacteria
Description: tRNA-Ala
Rfam family: tRNA
About the family: Transfer RNA (tRNA) molecules are approximately 80 nucleotides in length. Their secondary structure includes four short double-helical elements and three loops (D, anti-codon, and T loops).
Source: RNAcentral